AUUGAACGCUGGCGGCAGGCUUAACACAUGCAAGUCGAGCGAGGGAAGGUAGCUUGCUACCGGACCUAGCGGCGGACGGGUGAGUAAUGCUUAGGAAUCUGCCUAUUAGUGGGGGACAACAUCUCGAGAGGGAUGCUAAUACCGCAUAUGUCCUACGGGAGAAAGCAGGGGAUCUUCGGACCUUGCGCUAAUAGAUGAGCCUAAGUCGGAUUAGCUAGUUGGUGGGGUAAAGGCCUACCAAGGCGACGAUCUGUAGCGGGUCUGAGAGGAUGAUCCGCGAACCUGGGACUGAGACACGGCCCAGACUCCGACGGGAGGCAGCAGUGGGGAAUAUUGGACAAUGGGGGGAACCCUGAUCCAGCCAUGCCGCGUGUGUGAAGAAGGCCUUAUGGUUGUAAAGCACUUUAAGCGAGGAGGAGGCUACUCUAGUUAAUACCUAGGGAUAGUGGACGUUACUCGCAGAAUAAGCACCGGCUAACUCUGUGCCAGCCGCCGCAGUAA
RNAcentral lists this ribosomal RNA (501 nucleotides) under uncultured bacterium. RNAcentral describes it as "partial 16S ribosomal RNA". It matches the Rfam family "Bacterial small subunit ribosomal RNA", at positions 30 to 523 of the family's 1533-position model. The record is from RNAcentral.